Molecule: long non-coding RNA, 1432 nt
Filed under: Elaeis guineensis (African oil palm)
Lineage: Eukaryota; Viridiplantae; Streptophyta; Magnoliopsida; Arecales; Arecaceae
Description: long non-coding RNA (EGUI_LNC078570)
Source: RNAcentral
UCAAGAAGCAUACCUAAUCUUGCCUGACCUUGCUGCUUAAUUUUUACAUCUAAUAAAAAGAAGACAGGAUGAUAGGGAAACUUCAUUAAUAACACAGUAUAGUGGUUGCAGUUAAGCUAAGAUCCCACCAACCCACUUUCUCACCCACAGAUAACGUAUGGAACGUAGACUGAAAGAGUUAACAACAUCAACUCAGAUCGCAAGUCUCAAAAUGCAUUCAUAAUGCCAGAACCAGGAGGUUAAUUAAUUACAUCUUGACAUGGAAUAAUAUCAGUAAGGAAAACCGACCAGCCUUACAUUCUCAUAAUUUUGCUUUGAUCAAAGGACAUCCAUGCAAGUUACCUGAGAUCAGCUCUUGAAGGAGGCCUUAAAUUUCAAGACAAAUCCAAGCACCAACAGAAUAGUCAUGAUCCCAAAUGAAGAGCCUCCCACUCUGUGUAUCCAGUAUGGGUCGAACCUGGUGAACCUCCGGUCCAGGAAACAUGUGAAAUUGAUGACCACAAUCAGCACUAAGAGCACAAAAGGCAGACACAUGACCAAACUCCCAUACCCCACAUCAUCUUCAGGCUCGACAGGGGGCUUUCGAUCGAUGUAUAAUGGUGAAAGCACAGCCAGAAGCCCUAAGGCAAUGGCAGCUAACUUCUCAGUGUAGGUAGUCCUUCCCAUGCAGCUCUCUUGAGGGUAAUCAGACCCUUUCUUCUCCUUGAGCUUUUAUCCCAUUAGACAAAGCAAGCUUUAGACAUCUGAGGCCAACCUUUUGAUAUUUUUAUCACUAAGUACCCUUAAAUACUGUUGGUGGUUUGUAUGACAUCUUAUCAUGCCCUAGGUUAUUUAGGUAAUUCUUUAGAAAGAAUCUUUCUCAGGUCUUGAUUAUAUAGCCAAGCAGAGAAUAAGAUAUGUAAUAAAGAGGUAGUUAUUCUGCAUGAGCCAAACAGUUAGUGUUCGAUGGAAUCAGAUGCUUAAACUACUGAAAAAUAAACAAGGUCAUAAAAUUCCCGAGAAACUAGUAGUCUAAUGGCAGAGUCUGAUCAGAGAUUUUACUUUAAAGGAUGCAACCCAUGUCUAUUUGCAAUAUUUGACAAAUUAAAGCAUGCAAUGAAAUAAAUGAUCAUAAGUAUCCAAUUCAGAGCAAUACACAGCCUCUUAUGAAUUCACCUAGUGAAGUGUUCGCUUGCCAACAGGGGUCAGUAGUUCCUUCCAUUAAUGGUCAAAACAUCAUGGAUAAUGUAUUUUGUCUCGCCUAUAAUCAUAGUAGAACAUGGAAAGAAAAUAAUGUAAAACAUUUGCAUUUUCUGUUGAAUUACAUAAACCCUCACCUAGCAAUGGGUAACACUGCAAGGCAUAGGGAAAAGGCCUACUCACCUAGCAAGUGUGAUAAGUGCUUGAGCAUGGAACAAGCAUCUCUUUGCUUUCUGCUGUUGUUUCUUUGGAG